Molecule: long non-coding RNA, 1618 nt
Organism: Homo sapiens (human)
Lineage: Eukaryota; Metazoa; Chordata; Mammalia; Primates; Hominidae
Gene: ZFHX4-AS1
Product: ZFHX4 antisense RNA 1
Source: Ensembl
CAGAUUUCCUGGUGAACCUGCCUCUGUCUGAGAGGGUGUCUCACCGAACGGUAGCUAAAACCUCACCAGAACCGCGCGGAAGUGAGAAGUCGCGGCCAAAGGCGCCCGCAGAAGCCUCCUCUCUGGGCCGGACCCCAGCCCGAGCGGCCGAAAGGAGCCCCCCGCCCGGAUCACAGAAGUUUACAAGGAAAGGGGAAAUGUCUGAAAUGGAGAUUGCACAAUCCUGUCUUGAAGCAGAAGACUCAGCUAGAGCACAUCUGGAAACACCUGGCACUCCUCAAUAGAAUUCAAAUGCUAUUUUAAAAGAUGUAAAAUCUGAGCUGCAACACUGAACAAAAGCUGUACUUGCCAGCCAGCAAAGAUGCUACCACUCUGCACAACAGAUAAAACCCAUACAUAUAGGGAAGUCAAAAGAGUCUUUAAGCUACAGUGUUUGAGAGGCUGUUUGUCUCUGAUGGAAAAUUAAGAAAAUGAGUCCAUUUCUAAGAAGAUGUGGUUCGAACAUACAGAGCUACAUAAUAUGAGUAAAAUAGGACCUAACAGUAGUGUUCUCCAGCAUUGCUCUGCCUUUCCUUUUCUGGAUGUAACAACAUUACUAAGAAAGGAAGAAAAAGCAAAAAUCUGCUCUCGGGGAGAUUCCAGAAUGUUGGAAAGCCCCAAAUGGAAGUCUCUGCUUUGGUUACAGGACAUAAGGUUUAAUAAAUAAAAAGAUGCUCAUCUGGGAUGCUGCACCAAUUAUCAUGUACUAAAUAAGGUUACCUACUUCACUCUCCAGGUAGAAAUGUCUAUCAUAAGCAUGUGCCACAGAAGGUCUCUCAAGUAUCAUUAUUGGCUGUGUUGAAUUUUGUUUUUAGUUCUCUUUUAUAAGGUCUGUAGUCUUACUUUCAGUGAGGAAGUGUUUUCUCAGGUUCUCAAGAAAGUAACAAAAUGCCAGCAUUGUCAAGGUCACCAUUGCCACUGAAUUAUCUUACUGUCUGAUUAUUCCAUCUUCCUCUGCAUCAUAUUAGCCUGAUGACUACAUUCUAAUUAUUUAAAGCGUUAUGUAAAUCAAAGCAGUAAAUGUAAUUUCUAGUCUUACUAGAUAUCAUGUACAUUAGGUCGAAUAACUCUAGAAAUGUCGUCAUAAUCAUGUCAUGCCUAAUGAUGACCUACUCAGCCCCUGCCAACAUCAUUCAAUUACUCAUUUCAGUAUUGAUUUUUCUCAUGCCUCUCUUCGUGGCAUUUAAACAGCCCUCACAUCUCCCCUUUUACUGAGGUGUAAUGUUGUAUAAUGACAGAGAUGCUUUGCUUCCCAGAUUCAUAAUGUUACACUCUGUUUCAAAUCCUUUUGGAGACAAAUUGGGGAAUCAAUAUAUAAAUAAUGACACACUUAUUUUUAAUUAAAAUCACUGCUUUCACAGAAAUGGUAUAUUAAAAUUAUUUUUGCUAAAAAAAUUUUAAAUACCUAUGUACGAUAAAAAGACUGCCAAUCCUUGGGAUCAAGAAUAUAAUUUGCCCCAAAUAACUUUUCUGUAAAAGUAGAAUUCUUAAUGGAAAAUAGAUUAAUACAUAUAAUUUCAAGAUCUAACCUUAAAAAUGGAAAUAAUGUGUCCAUUUUUAAAAAUAAAUCAUAUUUACA